Molecule: ribosomal RNA, 471 nt
Filed under: uncultured bacterium
Lineage: Bacteria
Description: bacterial SSU rRNA
Rfam family: Bacterial small subunit ribosomal RNA
Source: RNAcentral
UGGGGAAUCUUGGACAAUGGGGGCAACCCUGAUCCAGCGAUGCCGCGUGGGUGAAGAAGGCCUUCGGGUUGUAAAGCCCUUUAGGCUGGGAAGAAGAAUGCGGGGUGAAUAAUCCUGUAUUUUGACGGUACCAGCAGAAUAAGCACCGGCAAACUCUGUGCCAGCAGCCGCGGUAAUACAGAGGGUGCGAGCGUUAAUCGGAUUUACUGGGCGUAAAGGGCGCGUAGGCGGUUAUAUGAGUGUGAUGUGAAAGCCCCGGGCUCAACCUGGGAAGUGCAUCGCAAACGAUAUAACUGGAGUAGUUGAGAGGGUGGCGGAAUUUCCGGUGUAGCGGUGAAAUGCGUAGAUAUCGGAAAGACAUCAGUGGCGAAGGCGGCUUCCUGGACUCAUACUGACGCUGAGGCACGAAAGCAUGGGGAGCAAACAGGAUUAGAUACCCCAGUAGUCCCUGAGCGGGCUGGCAAGGCGCAU